GGAGGGGAAGCUGGGUACCCUCUUCUGUGCCUGCGGUUCUCUGACCCACCCACCUGCAGACGCAGGGUGGGGCGCUCACAGUGGGCACGCUGCUCUGGGGCCGGUGGGCGGAUGGUUGGAAGGCGAGGCCGAGGAGCUGGGAGCGCGGUCCACGCGGGGCGUCUCGAGGCGCCCUCGGGCUGAUGUCCUUGGCUCGCCUCCUCGCCCUCGGUCGCCCGGGCUGCGCUCUGCAUCCUAAUCUGGCUCCUUCAGAGCCCCCCUCAGAAACCAAGGGGAGGAAUUCCGCAGUUCACUUCCCACACAACCCAAAUCCUUCAUCUGUCGCCUCGGGAACACCGCAUCCUACACCCCCUGCCGCCAGCUCCUUCGCACGCCAGCCCCGAUUCUUCCCCAGCGGGUUCUGGGCCCUGACGAGGGAACCCCCCUCGCGGGGGGGAGGGAGAAGAGUUGAUUUUAUUAUUAAUAGCUGACGCAGCGCUUGAUAGGUGUCUGCAGGGCAGUCACAGUUCACGCCGCUGGAGCUGCCACACAGCAGCUAGACUUGGGCUAGGAGGUGCUUCGCUGUGGCUUUCAGAUGAAGGCCAUUUCAUAGACUCACUUCCCUCGACAGGAGAAAAGGGGACUUGAAUCCAAAGCUGCUCUUAAACCACAGAUGAUUUGCUCUGCUCGGGAGGACAAAGCGCAGGUCACAGCAAGAUAAAGGGAAUUUUGCCAAUAUAAAGAAGCUACAUUACUUAACAAGGGGAUGGGAAAUUGCAUGGAAUUCAUGAACAAAACAUGAACAUAUUCUCUUCACAAAGAAGAGCAGCUUUCUUCACGGAGUAGGUUGCAGAAUGAAGCAAUUAGUCCACUUUUGUGUUUAACAAUAACGCACCAUCCGCAUGAGCAAAAGCAGAGCAGAAAAAUCACCUCAGUUGUCUCAAGUGGCUGGGCUUCAGGACUUAAGAUAAAUUCCUUCAGCAGAUGCAAAUUACAGUGCAUCACCAGCUGAAAAAAUCAGGCACGUCAUGUCAUUUAAUUAUUUCCAAGGAGUGGACGUUGGCAUGUAGUUUUGAUUGAUACUUGGAAAAGAACCAACAAAACCCUACACGAAACAAACAAACAAAAAAUUAUACUAUAUGGCAACGCACUGAGAGAAGCCAGGUGGAAACUGGUUAGGUCACAGGAUCAGAGCCGCUUCAAGAGGGGCACCCCUCUGCAGAUGCCGUGUUGAUUGGAGGCCCUCUGCAGAUGGCAGGGCCCCUGUGAAAAUCCAGUUCUUUCACCUGAUCCUCCUGCACCACCCAGAGUAUGUCCUGAUUUGGGAGACAGAUACACCUAUUAUAAGGUCCUGUCCCGUGUCUUGCAAGCUGGAGUCUAGAGGUACUGGACAAUCGUUCCCGUUCUGUUAGCUGCUUCCCAUCUCAACCAGUAGAGCCAUGGCCUCUUUGGCCUUCAACCUUAACAUUUAAAUCUUCUCACGGGGGUCCAAUCUGCAUGGAUGGGGGAUGGGAGGAGUCUAAGAAAGCAGAGGCUUGGCUGGAGACGUUUGCAAACAUUAGACGUUUCUCUUCCAUGACUCAUCGGAGGAGAGCAGUCCUCCCUCUUCCUGGAAUGCAGCAAACCCAUGGCCAACUCCUACCCCCACCCCAUCCCCAAAAUAAAACAACCCA
This 1652-nucleotide long non-coding RNA is filed under the name Homo sapiens (human). Its description in RNAcentral is "HSALNT0194803". Lineage: Eukaryota; Metazoa; Chordata; Mammalia; Primates; Hominidae. The record is from RNAcentral.